This 253-nucleotide ribosomal RNA is filed under the name uncultured bacterium. RNAcentral's name for it is "partial 16S ribosomal RNA". It matches the Rfam family "Bacterial small subunit ribosomal RNA", at positions 524 to 776 of the family's 1533-position model. The record is from RNAcentral.
UACAGAGGGGGCAAGCGUUAUUCGGAAUUAUUGGGCGUAAAGCGUGCGCAGGCGGUUUUGUAAGACAGGUGUGAAAUCCCCGGGCUUAACCUGGGAACUGCAUUUGUGACUGCAAGGCUAGAGUGUAGCAGAGGGGGGUAGAAUUCCACGUGUAGCAGUGAAAUGCGUAGAUAUGUGGAGGAAUACCGAUGGCGAAGGCAGCCCCCUGGGCUAACACUGACGCUCAUGCACGAAAGCGUGGGGAGCAAACAGG